This 3253-nucleotide small RNA is filed under the name Pongo abelii (Sumatran orangutan). Its description in RNAcentral is "retained intron". The record is from RNAcentral. Lineage: Eukaryota; Metazoa; Chordata; Mammalia; Primates; Hominidae.
GGGACGCGAGUCUGAGAGCCUGCGGGCGGGCGGCGCGCUGCAGGCGAGCGGGCGAGCGGGCGCGCCCUGCAGGGAGCUGACCUGUCCUGGACGCAGCAUAACUAACGAAGCUGCUGCAGGAUGAGAAGAUGGCAGCGCGGCUGCUUGCACCACCAGGCCCUGAUAGUUUCAAGCCUUUCACCCCUGAGUCGCUGGCAAACAUUGAGAGGCGCAUUGCUGAGAGCAAGCUCAAGAAACCACCAAAGGCUGAUGGCAGUCAUCGGGAGGACGAUGAGGACAGCAAGCCCAAGCCAAACAGCGACCUGGAAGCAGGGAAGAGUUUGCCUUUCAUCUACGGGGACAUCCCCCAAGGCCUGGUUGCAGUUCCCCUGGAGGACUUUGACCCAUACUAUUUGACGCAGAAAACCUUUGUAGUAUUAAACAGAGGGAAAACUCUCUUCAGAUUUAGUGCCACGCCUGCCUUGUACAUUUUAAGUCCUUUUAACCUGAUAAGAAGAAUAGCUAUUAAAAUUUUGAUACAUUCAGUAUUUAGCAUGAUCAUUAUGUGCACUAUUUUGACCAACUGUGUAUUCAUGACUUUUAGUAACCCUCCUGACUGGUCGAAGAAUGUGGAGUACACAUUCACAGGGAUUUAUACAUUUGAAUCACUAGUGAAAAUCAUUGCAAGAGGUUUCUGCAUAGAUGGCUUUACCUUUUUACGGGAUCCAUGGAACUGGUUAGAUUUCAGUGUCAUCAUGAUGGCAUAUGUGACAGAGUUUGUGGACCUGGGCAAUGUCUCAGCGCUGAGAACAUUCAGGGUUCUCCGAGCUUUGAAAACUAUCUCUGUAAUUCCAGGCCUGAAGACAAUUGUGGGUGCCCUGAUUCAGUCUGUGAAGAAACUGUCAGAUGUGAUGAUCCUGACAGUGUUCUGCCUGAGUGUUUUCGCCUUGAUCGGACUGCAGCUGUUCAUGGGGAACCUUCGAAACAAGUGUGUUGUGUGGCCCAUAAACUUCAACGAGAGCUAUCUUGAAAAUGGCACCAAAGGCUUUGAUUGGGAAGAGUAUAUCAACAAUAAAACAAAUUUCUACACAGUUCCUGGCAUGCUGGAACCUUUACUCUGUGGGAACAGUUCUGAUGCUGGGCAAUGCCCAGAGGGAUACCAGUGUAUGAAAGCAGGAAGGAACCCCAACUAUGGUUACACAAGUUUUGACACUUUUAGCUGGGCCUUCUUGGCAUUAUUUCGCCUUAUGACCCAGGACUAUUGGGAAAACUUGUAUCAAUUGACCUUACGAGCAGCCGGGAAAACAUACAUGAUCUUCUUCGUCUUGGUCAUCUUUGUGGGUUCUUUCUAUCUGGUGAACUUGAUCUUGGCUGUGGUGGCCAUGGCUUAUGAAGAACAGAAUCAGGCAACACUGGAGGAGGCAGAACAAAAAGAGGCUGAAUUUAAAGCAAUGUUGGAGCAACUUAAGAAGCAACAGGAAGAGGCACAGGCUGCUGCGAUGGCCACUUCAGCAGGAACUGUCUCAGAAGAUGCCAUAGAGGAAGAAGGUGAAGAAGGAGGGGGCUCCCCUCGGAGCUCUUCUGAAAUCUCUAAACUCAGCUCAAAGAGUGCAAAGGAAAGACGUAACAGGAGAAAGAAGAGGAAGCAAAAGGAACUCUCUGAAGGAGAGGAGAAAGGGGAUCCUGAGAAGGUGUUUAAGUCAGAGUCAGAAGAUGGCAUGAGAAGGAAGGCCUUUCGGCUGCCAGACAACAGAAUAGGGAGGAAAUUUUCCAUCAUGAAUCAGUCACUGCUCAGCAUCCCAGGCUCGCCCUUCCUCUCCCGCCACAACAGCAAGAGCAGCAUCUUCAGUUUCAGGGGACCUGGGCGGUUCCGAGACCCGGGCUCCGAGAAUGAGUUCGCGGAUGACGAGCACAGCACGGUGGAGGAGAGCGAGGGCCGCCGGGACUCCCUCUUCAUCCCCAUCCGGGCCCGCGAGCGCCGUAGCAGCUACAGCGGCUACAGCGGCUACAGCCAGGGCAGCCGCUCCUCACGCAUCUUCCCCAGCCUGCGGCGCAGCGUGAAGCGCAACAGCACGGUGGACUGCAACGGCGUGGUGUCCCUCAUUGGCGGCCCCGGCUCCCACAUCGGCGGGCGUCUCCUGCCAGAGGCUACAACUGAGGUGGAAAUUAAGAAGAAAGGCCCUGGAUCUCUUUUAGUUUCCAUGGACCAAUUAGCCUCCUACGGGCGGAAGGACAGAAUCAACAGUAUAAUGAGUGUUGUUACAAAUACACUAGUAGAAGAACUGGAAGAGUCUCAGAGAAAGUGCCCGCCAUGCUGGUAUAAAUUUGCCAACACUUUCCUCAUCUGGGAGUGCCACCCCUACUGGAUAAAACUGAAAGAGAUUGUGAACUUGAUAGUUAUGGACCCUUUUGUGGAUUUAGCCAUCACCAUCUGCAUCGUCCUGAAUACACUGUUUAUGGCAAUGGAGCACCAUCCUAUGACACCACAAUUUGAACAUGUCUUGGCUGUAGGAAAUCUGGUUUUCACUGGAAUUUUCACAGCGGAAAUGUUCCUGAAGCUCAUAGCCAUGGAUCCCUACUAUUAUUUCCAAGAAGGUUGGAACAUUUUUGACGGAUUUAUUGUCUCCCUCAGUUUAAUGGAACUGAGUCUAGCAGACGUGGAGGGGCUUUCAGUGCUGCGAUCUUUCCGAUUGCUCCGAGUCUUCAAAUUGGCCAAAUCCUGGCCCACCCUGAACAUGCUAAUCAAGAUUAUUGGAAAUUCAGUGGGUGCCCUGGGCAACCUGACACUGGUGCUGGCCAUUAUUGUCUUCAUCUUUGCCGUGGUGGGGAUGCAGCUCUUUGGAAAAAGCUACAAAGAGUGUGUCUGCAAGAUCAACCAGGACUGUGAACUCCCUCGCUGGCAUAUGCAUGACUUUUUCCAUUCCUUCCUCAUUGUCUUUCGAGUGUUGUGCGGGGAGUGGAUUGAGACCAUGUGGGACUGCAUGGAAGUGGCAGGCCAGGCCAUGUGCCUCAUUGUCUUUAUGAUGGUCAUGGUGAUUGGCAACUUGGUGGUUAGUACUAAUUUGUAGAUAUUUUUAUUCUACACCCUGAAUAUUCUACCCUUGGCCCAGAAGCCCAAGUCCUUCUACUACUUAGUCCUUCUACUACCCAUCAUGUUUGUUGAUUUUUAUUCUUUCUUGGCCCAGAAACCCUAAGGUACAAAUGAAGGAGAGGAGAGAGAUACUUACAGAGUGCCUACUUAGUCAUGACCCCCACAACUUGUCAACCCUUUUCC